CGAGAGAGCGGGCCUUUUACAUCCGGGAAGCGUCGGGGUUGCGUUACGUUAAGGUCGGCUGUCGUGUUUUGUGGACCACGGUGGUAAUUGGGGCAGAACUUUUUGGCUUAGUUAAAAUGCAGGAGAUUCAAGAGUCGUGUAGUGGUAGAUUCACUUCAGCUGUGAAAACCUCUGGGUUUGAAAACCUGAGGAGACUUAGGUGUUCAUGAGGUCACGAGGCGGCCACGUGCAGCCCUGGCUGCCGAGUCUAAGAGGCCGAGCGCGCUCGGGUCUUGGGCCCUCGGGCAGAGGCUCGAAGCACAUGGCGACUUCGGCAAAGGUCGUGAAGUCCGCUGUCGGUGUCCAGUGGCCAUCUUGAAACUGCUCCGCCGGUACUCCCCCGUUUAGAUGUAGGAAGCAGAAGUAAUUGUUCCGAUGGACGAUAGAAAACAUGACCUGGUAAUCAAGAAAUGCCAUGUGGUAUGGGUGAAGUCCUGUUUGUUUAGAAGCCUGUGGCGCACUGCCAAAAGGUGAUUUUAAAUCU
This is a long non-coding RNA of Mustela erminea (ermine), 523 nucleotides long. RefSeq lists it as uncharacterized. The transcript is spliced from 3 exons. The record is from RefSeq and is a predicted model, not a curated record. NCBI's taxonomy places the organism in Eukaryota, Metazoa, Chordata, Mammalia, Carnivora, Mustelidae.